This 468-nucleotide ribosomal RNA is filed under the name uncultured bacterium. RNAcentral's name for it is "partial 16S ribosomal RNA". It matches the Rfam family "Bacterial small subunit ribosomal RNA", at positions 28 to 507 of the family's 1533-position model. The record is from RNAcentral.
GACGAACGCUGGCGGCGUGCUUAACACAUGCAAGUCGAACGGAAAGGCCCUGCUUUUGUGGGGUGCUCGAGUGGCGAACGGGUGAGUAACACGUGAGUAACCUGCCCUUGACUUUGGGAUAACUUCAGGAAACUUGGGCUAAUACCGGAUAGGAUCUCCUGCCGCAUGGUGGGGGUUGGAAAGUUUCGGCGGUUGGGGAUGGACUCGCGGCGUAUCAGCUUGUUGGUGGGGUAGUGGCUUACCAAGGCUUUGACGGGUAGCCGGGCUGCGAGGGUGACCGGCCACGUUACGACUGGGAUGCGGCCCAGACUCCUACGGGACGCAACGGAGCAGAAUAGUACACAGUGGGCUGAAGCCUGAUGUGACAACGCCGCGUGCGGGAAGACAGCCUUCGGUUUGGAAUCCACUUUCGCCUGUGACGAGGCGUGAGUGACGGUAAUGGGUAAAGAAGCACCGGCUAACUACGUG